Molecule: ribosomal RNA, 253 nt
Filed under: uncultured bacterium
Lineage: Bacteria
Description: partial 16S ribosomal RNA
Rfam family: Bacterial small subunit ribosomal RNA
Source: RNAcentral
UACGUAGGGUGCGAGCGUUACUCGGAAUUACUGGGCGUAAAGCGUGCGCAGGCGGUUCUAUAAGACAGAUGUGAAAUCCCCGGGCUCAACCUGGGAACUGCAUUUGUGACUGUAGAGCUGGAGUACGGUAGAGGGGGAUGGAAUUCCGCGUGUAGCAGUGAAAUGCGUAGAUAUGCGGAGGAACACCGAUGGCGAAGGCAAUCCCCUGGACCUGUACUGACGCUCAUGCACGAAAGCGUGGGGAGCAAACAGG